CUCUAAGAAAGAGUUGCACUGCAUAGACAAGAGCUGUUAUUUUAUGGAAUGAUUGUCUAAAUCUUUUAACCUAAUGUUCAAUUAAAGAUAUAACUUUUGUUUUUAGCUUCAGUGAAAUUGAUCAGUACAAACAAACAUAGUUUUUAGCAUAAAAAGACAAAAUGUUAUUUAAAUCACAAUACAUCUCAAUGAAUUUCUAUAUUUUUAUGAUUUCAGAUUAAAAGUGUUAACCAAUAUUCAACUAAUAAAACACCUUUCUGCUUUUGAAAAAAAAUGGCAUGGCAGGGGGAGUGAGGGCAUGGCAUGCCAUGCUUCUGGGGGAAAAAAUUACCCCCCAAAAGGGCGAAGUCAUUUAGAACCAACAUUCACAUAAAACUUAGGUGUGAUAAAGGUAAAAGCUGAAAAAUCUGACACUUGUAUUCAUAACAAAUCACUGGUUUUUUGAUGUGCCUUUCGAUAAUUAUUCCCACAUAUGGCUAACUGCAACCAGAGUCUCAUUUACUCUUAGUGUUUUGCAAUGAUUCUUUCGAAAAAAUAAAAGCAGUAAAAGUACUGAGUAAAACAGUGAAAGUAAAAAGAAAAGUAAAAAGAGUAAAAGUAAAAUAUUAUAGUGUGUAUUAUUAUAUUCUGUUUCCUCUGGUUUUGCAUUGUGUUGCUGGGAGGGAUUCGCUGCCCUACAGUUAAUGCCACUGUUGUAAGCACAUCUCAUAUGAUAAUAAAGAACAUGAGGAUCUUCCAUGAGUUGCCUGUUGUCACGGUAACAGAAUGUUUACACUUAUACAAACUCACAGAAAUUGCCUGGGCAACCAAAAUGUUUAUAUAGCUACAGAAUUUUGCCAUGCAAUAUUCAUAUUGGCCCCUGUUGAAGAAGGCUCUCACAACUCAUGGUCCUUUUCAUAACAGACCUCCAGCAUGGAUUUUCUCUGUCUACUUUACCCAGUAUUAUCCCUGAAGUACUUUACACCGUUGAUAUGUGUUGUUGGCUUAGUGAUUGCUGCAGCUAGCUCAAUUCUCAUCUGCACGAGACUCCAAGGCACCCAGCACCUUAUCCAAGGGAAACCUGAUGAACACGGUGAUCAGACCAAGGUGCCUGCUCCAGAGAGUGCUGACAAGCCUGCUGAGGACAUCUCUGGGGAAGCCUCUUUGGAUACCUCUGAAGAGCCUGCUCCAGGCAACAUCGAGGGGCCCGCUCUUGGCAUAUUUGAGGAACCCGCUUUGGGCAUCUUCGAGGAGCCAACUCUAGCCACCCAAACCCCACUCCAAGAAGACUUCUAUGAACAUGCUGACCUGGUAAAAUAUUGUGAAUACUCUAAGCCUGUGUGAAAGUAUGUUACGUUGAAUUUCUUCAUUUUCUUCAUGGUUCUGAAGAUCCUCAAUUAGGCAGAUUUUGCCCAAAGAGACUAGUUCCGGCGCUGCAGAACCUGUUCUGGACUGUACUGUGGAACCUGGCUCCCUCUGCUCCCUACUGUGUUUUAGCGCCAACCUAAUGCCGCACCCCGAAUCGUGCCCCAUACUAGCCCCAGUAGUCGGCCCGCUGGUGAACUUCAGGGCCCAUACAUUUUCUCUCUACAAUUGUGACUGAGCUUUCCCUUUGUAAAAGACAAGAAGUUAAAUUCUUGCCCUGAAUUAAACAAAAAAUAAUAUCAAAACAUUUUAAAUUCAAGGCUGAUUAAUGUACUUGCUGUAAUUCAAAAUAUAUGACAAAACACUUGUUUUAAUGAGUAUAUUUGAAAGAGAAACACUGAUGCGCCAAUCUGCAGCCAGGUUGCACCCCAUUCCCCAGACUGGUGGAUCAUUAAGGGGAAUCAAGCAUCAGAUGCAGCCAGUCUGUUGGUUAAAAAAGACUAUAGAGAGAACUUGGAGGUGAGAGAAGUUUGCAGCUUUCAAUACCGGGUGUAAAGUUAGCGUUCUGUUAUAACGGGGACUUCCUCCUCCUGUGCCCUUAAGGUGGAGUUCCUUCCCCAAGAAUAUCAGGGAGUCUCCCAGUCUGGGCACCUUUAAAUCCAGGCUCAAGAUCCACAUGUUCACAUCGCUUUCUGAUAAUACAUUUAAAUGCUCCAUUUGUCCUUUCAUUUGUUUGACUAAUAUUUUAUCUUCAUAAAAUGUUGCUGCUUUUGUUUCAUUAUUUACAUUUAUUAAUUUAGCUGACGUGUCAGUUUUGGGUACAUUCAAUCUUGUUCAAAGCCGAAAAGCCAUUUCCAAUUCAAUAUCCUUUAUUAAAUGUCACCAAGUUUUGCAGUUAAUUUUGGAGACAUAAUUAAAUUUACUUUAAGACCACCCACUGCUGCCCUGUGCUCUUUUAUUUCAUCGGUCUUCAUUGCUU
Molecule: long non-coding RNA, 2323 nt
Filed under: Scleropages formosus (Asian bonytongue)
Lineage: Eukaryota; Metazoa; Chordata; Actinopteri; Osteoglossiformes; Osteoglossidae
Description: lncRNA (ENSSFOG00015025144.1)
Source: RNAcentral